RNAcentral lists this ribosomal RNA (253 nucleotides) under uncultured bacterium. RNAcentral's name for it is "partial 16S ribosomal RNA". It matches the Rfam family "Bacterial small subunit ribosomal RNA", at positions 524 to 776 of the family's 1533-position model. The record is from RNAcentral.
UACGGGGGGGGCAAGCGUUGUUCGGAAUUACUGGGCGUAAAGGGUUCGUAGGUGGCUUGCUAAGUCAGACGUGAAAUCCCUCAGCUUAACUGGGGAACUGCGUCUGAGACUGGUGAGCUUGAGUGCAGGAGAGGAACGCGGAAUUCCAGGUGUAGCGGUGAAAUGCGUAGAUAUCUGGAGGAACACCUGCGGUGUAGACGGCUUACUGGACCAUAACUGACGCUGAGGCACGAAAGCGUGGGUAGCAAACAGG